Molecule: long non-coding RNA, 611 nt
Filed under: Phascolarctos cinereus (koala)
Lineage: Eukaryota; Metazoa; Chordata; Mammalia; Diprotodontia; Phascolarctidae
Description: lncRNA (ENSPCIG00000035669.1)
Source: RNAcentral
AGACCAACAAGGAAUACGUACGGAGAGGAGACACAUUCGUGCGCACACACACACGCACACACACACACACACACACACACACGCGCACGCGCGCACACACACACACACACACACACACACACACACACACACACACACACAGAGGCGCGCGCCACACACAGGCGCGCACACACACCCUCCCUCCGUCCCUCCCUCUCUCCCGCCGGCUCGACUGCCUCUGCCUCUGCCUCUCGCUUGCAGCCGGCAGCUGCACCUGCUCGCCUCCAGCCCUCGCCCCCAGCCCUCGCCCUUAGGACUCGCUCGAGCGGGGCCGGGGAUGUGGUCCCGGAGUGGCGGCGCGGGGACGCCGGAGCCCAGCGGCCUCCUGCCCCCACUAUCCCUGAGCUCUCAAUCGCAGCAGGCCCGAGAAGGAAAGUGACCAGGGCAGCAACUGGAGCCUGGGCUGAACAAGUUAAGGGGAUUUUCUGCCCACCUUCCAGGUUGUCCUCCAGCCAAAGGUCUGUCCAUUUGCUGAGAACUGAUAAAACUUCUGCCUCAGGUAAGUGGUCUCUGAAAUUUUUAAAAAAAAGAUUUAUUACAAACUUAAUAUUAAGCAUCAAUACAAGUAAUUA